This 247-nucleotide ribosomal RNA is filed under the name uncultured bacterium. Its description in RNAcentral is "partial 16S ribosomal RNA". It matches the Rfam family "Bacterial small subunit ribosomal RNA", at positions 523 to 769 of the family's 1533-position model. The record is from RNAcentral.
AUACGUAGGCAGCAAGCGUUGUUCGGAAUUACUGGGCGUAAAGAGUGCGUAGGCGGUUGGCUAAGUUUGGUGUGAAAUCUCCCGGCUCAACUGGGAGGGUGCGCCGAAAACUGGCCGGCUAGAGUGUGGGAGAGGUAAGUGGAAUUCCUGGUGUAGCGGUGAAAUGCGUAGAUAUCAGGAGGAACACCUGCGGUGUAGACGGCUUACUGGACCAUGACUGACGCUGAGGCACGAAAGCGUGGGGAGC